UAGCCUGCUGAUCUGGGAGGGAGCAUUUAGUCCUCCUAUGCCUCCUUUCUCCAGCUGUGGUCUUUUUUCUGAAACAAAGAAGAAAUAGUCAAAUCAGACUUGCCCUCUUGGAAAUGUGGUCCAGAUUGCUCUACUCCCAAGCUCCAGAAAA
Molecule: non-coding RNA, 151 nt
Organism: Vicugna pacos (alpaca)
Lineage: Eukaryota; Metazoa; Chordata; Mammalia; Artiodactyla; Camelidae
Source: Rfam